AGUAAAUAGAUACCCAGGUAGUCCACGCCCUAAACGAUGUCUACUAGUUGUUGGUGGAGUAAAAUCCAUUAGUAAACGCAGCUAAACGCGUGAAGUAGACCGCCUGGGGAGUACGGUCGCAAGAUCAAAACUCAAAGGAAUUGACGGGGGCCCGCACAAGCGGUGGAUUAUGUGGAUUAAAUUCGAUGCAACGCGAAAAACCUUACCUGGCCUUGACAUGCCACUAACGAAGCAGAGAUGCAUUAGGUGCCCGAAACGGGAAAGUGGACACAGGUGCUGCAUGGCUGUCGUCAGCUCGUGUCGUGAGAUGUUGGGUUUAAAGUCCCGCAACGAGCGCAACCCUUGCCAAUAAUUGCCAUCAUUCAGUU
RNAcentral lists this ribosomal RNA (368 nucleotides) under uncultured bacterium. Its description in RNAcentral is "bacterial SSU rRNA". It matches the Rfam family "Bacterial small subunit ribosomal RNA", at positions 774 to 1130 of the family's 1533-position model. The record is from RNAcentral.